AGCGCCAGGCUGGGCUCUCCCAGGCCAACUUCCCCCUGGGCCCUGUGAGCCGCUCCCAAGUGGGCCAGUACAGAUGCUACGUGUGGUGCACACAACCUCUCCUCCGAGUGCUCGGCCCCCAGUGACCCCCUGGACAUCCUGAUCGCAGCUCCGGCCCCCUGCCCACCAGAAGCAGUGCCAUGUCUACAAAUCAUCAGCCUCCUGGGGCUUGGUGAGUCCUGGAGUGGAAGCGAGGAGAGGGCUAUGAUGGAAUCUCUGAGCUUCUUCACAGCACGUGACCAGAAUCCGUGGAUUGAGGGCACAUGGGAGCCUGGGUCCCACUGGGACACACCAUCUCUGAUGUGGUUUUCCUUCAGGAUUCUGUCUGGGCCCAGAGGAUCUGGGAACAUGUGGGUGAGUCCUCUUCAUUCCCGGGCUACUGUGUUGGCCAAACGUGAUGGACUUCACCUGCAGCCAUGGCACAGCGGCAGUGGAGUUGGGGCAGGUGCAGGUGACAGUGACGAGCCCAUGGUUCAGGUUUCUGGAUAUACAGGGAGAGACACAUACCUUGUGGAUCUCAGUUUCUUACUUUUCCCCGGAGAUUCAACCUAGCUGAUUCCUCAGGAUAAGCCCAGCUCUGUAUUCACAUAAAGGAGGCUAGGAUUUUAAACAGACCCCACAGAGCCCACCAAGGACCAGGACCCCACACCCAUCUCCAACCUGUUCUUGACAAGGGAUCCACAGCACAUCCCCCUGGAAAGAGACAAGCACAUCUCCCUCAGGAAAGAGACAGGGCAGCAGGCAGGGACCACCUGGAGCUCGAGCCACAUUCUGAUGUAGAACUUACGAAAGAUCAAAGUUCGUAUUUCACCUUAGUUUUGAAUCAAGUGAAUAUUGAUCUUCCUCUUGGAUAAUUUUUUGUCGUGAUAUAAAAUUGUGUUUUGAGACAAACUUUGUUGAAUAUUUUAUCAACACUCGAAGUAAAAUGGAAGUCUCUGGAAGACCUGCCACAUCCAGGCUGGCGUGGGCUGCGUCCCUGUCACCCCACCAGGGAGCCCCGGGCAUCAGGGACCUCUGCUUUGAGGGAUGAACCUUGGAAAAAUGAAAACAAAAAAGCCCCCAAGAACAACUGGAGACAGGGGGCGGGUGGCUCCACAUGCCUCUCUCUAAGCUGUGCCUCCUCCCCCAGGCGACCGCCUCCCCGUCAGCCUGGCUGAGCCCUGUGGUUCUCCUAGGAGGACAUGUGACUCUUUCCUGUCAUCCCCAUCUUCAGUUCGUCAUAGUCAAACUAUUCACAAGAGUUAGGCUGUGUCCCUGAGUUCCAGAUUGGCCUUUGGAGCAACUUCACCAUCAGCUUUGUGACCACAGCACACGCAGGGCCGACAGAUGUUCCAGAUCUUACACUCAUAACCUCUCUGUGUGGUCAGCUCACAGCAUUCCACUGGAUAUUGUGGUCACAGGUGGCAGAUGUCCACCCCAGCCCAUGCUCCUCCUGUGUCCAGACAGCCCUUUCCAGAGUCUGCACCCAGUGGAUACCAACAGCCCCUGCAGAAUUCAUCGUCAAGACCUCACCAUGGGAAGAGGGCCCACUCUGCGAAUUUAAAGAGGAUGUAUUUAAUGGAGGGAGUUAGGCGCCCAGGUGAAGGGAGAAUCAGGAAGCCAAUAAGUAAGAUGCGAUCCCAUUUGUCUACUUUGCUUUUGUUGUCUGUGCUUUUGGGGUCACCUCCAAAUUAUGAUUGUCCAGACCAAUGUCAUGGAAUUCUUUCCUCCAUACUAUAUAUAUUUAUGUUUUUAGGGUUUUUUUUGGAGACUAAGUCUCACUCUAUUGCCCAGGCUGGAGUGCAGUGGCAUGAUCUUGGCUCACUGCAACCUCCGCCUCCCAGGUUCAAGCGAUUCUCGUGCCUCAGCCUCCCAAGUAGCCAGGAUUACAGGUGCCCGCCACCACACCCAGCUAAUUUUUGUAUUUUUAGUAGAGAUGGGAUUUUGCCAUGUUGGCCAGGCUGGUCUUGAACUCCUGACCUCAAGCGAUCUGCCCACCUCGGCCUCCCAAAGUGCUGGGAUUACAGGUGUGAGCCACGGCGCCUGGCCUUCUCUAUACUUUACUUAGUAAAUGUAUACCUUUAAGCCUUACGUUUAAGACUUUAAUCCUUUCUGAGUUGAUUUUUAGAUUUGGUGCAAGAUGAGGACCGAAUUUCAUUUCAUUGUUCUGCCUGUGGAGAUUUAGUUUUCCCAACACCAUUUAUUGAAGAAAUUGUCCUUUCCUAAUUAUAUACCCUUGACAGUCUUGCCAAAGAUCAAUUAUCUAUAAAUGUGUGGAUUUAUUUCUGGGCUCUUUAUCCUGUUCCAUUCGUCUGUGUGUCUGUUUUAUGCCAUGACUAUACUUUUGUUUUGCUUUGUUUUAUUUUACUUUUUUGAGAAAUUAUAAUGGAAUACCAUUAUGUUACACAAUGAUGUCAAGGUUUAAGUAUACAGGGUGGAGUGAAUGAGUCAAACUAAUUAACAUGUUUUGAUUACUAUGGAUCUGUAGUAGAUUUUGAAGUCAAGUAGUGUGAUGACUCUAGCUUGCUUUGUUUUUGCUCAGAACUGUUUGGCUAAUUGGAGUCUUCUGCUGUAUUAUAUAAAUUUUAGAUUUUUUUUCUAGAUCUGUCAAAGAUGCCGUUGGAAUUUUGACAAGAAUUGUAUUGAAUCUGUAGACCACUUUGAGUAGUAUGGCUAUUUAAAAAAUAUCAAUUCUUCCAAUCCAA
Molecule: long non-coding RNA, 2723 nt
Organism: Symphalangus syndactylus (siamang)
Lineage: Eukaryota; Metazoa; Chordata; Mammalia; Primates; Hylobatidae
Source: RefSeq, a predicted model, not a curated record